RNAcentral lists this ribosomal RNA (254 nucleotides) under uncultured bacterium. RNAcentral describes it as "partial 16S ribosomal RNA". It matches the Rfam family "Bacterial small subunit ribosomal RNA", at positions 524 to 777 of the family's 1533-position model. The record is from RNAcentral.
UACGGAGGGUGCAAGCGUUAUCCGGAUUCACUGGGUUUAAAGGGUGCGUAGGCGGCCUAUUAAGUCAGGGGUGAAAGACGGUGGCUCAACCAUCGCAGUGCCUUUGAUACUGAUAGGCUUGAAUACACUAGAGGUAGGCGGAAUGUGACAAGUAGCGGUGAAAUGCAUAGAUAUGUCACAGAACACCGAUUGCGAAGGCAGCUUACUAUGGUGUCAUUGACGCUGAGGCACGAAAGCGUGGGGAUCAAACAGGG